RNAcentral lists this ribosomal RNA (428 nucleotides) under uncultured bacterium. RNAcentral describes it as "bacterial SSU rRNA". It matches the Rfam family "Bacterial small subunit ribosomal RNA", at positions 355 to 774 of the family's 1533-position model. The record is from RNAcentral.
UGGGGAAUAUUGCGCAAUGGGCGAAAGCCUGACGCAGCGACGCCGCGUGGGUGAUGAAGGCCUUCGGGUCGUAAAGCCCUGUCGGGAGGGACGAAACCUCGGUGACCUAAUACGUCACCGACCUGACGGUACCUCUUAAGGAAGCACCGGCUAACUCCGUGCCAGCAGCCGCGGUAAUACGGAGGGUGCGAGCGUUGUUCGGAAUUACUGGGCGUAAAGCGUGCGCAGGCGGUUUUGUAAGACAGAGGUGAAAUCCCCGGGCUCAACCUGGGAAAUGCCUUUGNGACUGCAAGGCUGGAGUGCGGCAGAGGGGGAUGGAAUUCCGCGUGUAGCAAUGAAAUGCGUAGAUAUGCGGAGGAACACCGAUGGCGAAGGCAAUCCCCUGGGCCUGCACUGACGCUCAUGCACGAAAGCGUGGGGAGCAAACA